GCUUAGUCUAACAUUUGCAUUUAUUUACCUUUCUCAUUUUGGUAUUUUGUCACGACCCCGGUUUGCCCUCCGUGAACCAUCGUGACGGCACCUAGUCUCUACGACUAGGUAAGCCUAAGAUGCGGAAGAUAAACCAAAUUUGCAGAAAGAAAACAAUUUAAAAUAAAAAUAGAGUAAUAAAACAACGUUUAAAAGUGCCGCUCGGCAUACACAAUAUUAACUCUUAAAACCAAUACACUUUCCCAAAACCCGGAAACCCAUGAAUCACAAGCUACGAAUAUAAUAAAAAUGCUCUAACUCCAGAAUGUCUACAUCAACAGAAGAAAAUAGAAAGGCUAUCACUACAAGAUAGAAUGGAAAGGGACUCCUCGGUCUGCGGACGCGACAGAUAUACCUCGAAGUCUCUGAAACAGUCGCCUCGCCUCAAGAAUGAUAGGAGUGAGUCAAUACCUGGAUCUGCACAUGAAAAACAUGCGCAGAAAGGGCAUGAGUACAACGGUACUCAGUAAGUGCGAAGCCUAACCUCGGUCGGGUAGUGACGAGGAAGAUCAGGGCCCUACUGAUGUUAAAUAAAAUAUAAGGCCUAACAGUGUAGAAUAAGACAGUAUAAUUAAGUGCAACAGUAAGAAAUAACAUAGAAUAAAAAGAACAACAACAACUAGAACAGAGACAAAUAAUCACAGAAAGGAAAUACAACUCAACACAGAGAUAACAAUGGGAGUACCUUCCAGGAUACUGUCCUGUAAUCCCAAUUACAUCUAUCCAGUGGAUCUCCAGGAAUGCCAUCCCAUAGUCCAUCAUAUAUAUCUGAAGGAUCUCCCGGGAUCCCGUCCCGUAGUCCAACUAUCAGUGCGCGGGGAUCUAUCGGAAUCCCGAUCCGUAGUCCCAAAUAUAAAUACCCAGUACUGGGGGAAUCUACCGGGUGCAGUCCCGUAGUUCCAUAUAACUGUGCAAGGGGAUUUACCGGAAUCCCACAUCCGUAGUCCCAAUUAAACAGACAAGGGGGAUCUACCGGAAUCCCACAUCCGUAGUCCCAAUAUAAAUACACAUCAGUAAUAGGAAAAUAUUCAGCAAAUGUCAAUUUCAUAUUAAGGCAAACAAGUAAUUCUAGUCUAGCAUGCUGCACAGAAUUCAGGUAAAGCAGUUUGAGCAAAUAAAGCAAUUAAAUCACUUAGACAUGCUUUCCUACGCUAACUACAGGCUUAAAGUGCAAGUAAUAUAAACAGGGAAGGAAACAUACUAGUAAUUACUUAAUGAAAACCGGAUUUUCAACAAUUAGCACAAGUACGCACUCGUCACCUCACGUACAAGGCAUUUCAAUUAACAAUAAUACCAAAUCCUAAGGGGAAGGUCCCCCACACAAAGGUUAGGCAAGCCACUUACCUCGAACUGGCUCAAAAUCAACUCGAAACCACGUUCUUACCACAUGUAUUUGACUCCAAAUGGACCAAAUCUAUUCAAUUCAAUUUCAUAAUGUAAAUAGCACUUCAAGUAACUGAUUCUACAAAGAAAUUCUAAGCUAAUACGCGAAAUUAAGUAAAAUGACCAAAACGCCCCUCGGGCCCACGUCUCGGAAUCAGGUAAAANNNNNNNNNNNNNNNNNNNNNNNNNUUUUUAUGUUUAUAAUGAUAAAAAUCACCUCAAUAACGAGUUUAGGUUCCAAGAAUCUUACCUCCUCGAAGUUUCCAUGAAUUCCCUCUCAAAAACCUCCCCAAAAGCUACUUCCCGGAUGAAAAUGGUGAAAGAAUAGCUCAAAUUCGUGAAGGCAACUAUUUAUAUGUUCUGCCCAGCAAAUCCCGCAUCUGCGAUCCACCCAUUGCAUUUGCGAUACCGCUUCUGCGGUUCUCACUUAAAGUUCCAUCUCCGCACCUGCGACCCAGAUGCCGCAUCUGCGGUCCCGUAGGUGCGGUAAUCCUAUUGCUUCUGCGUCCCUACUCAAAUUUCUCUUAGCCGCUCCUGCGGCUCAACUCCGCAUCUGCGGUAGUCGCAUCUGCAGCCUACCAACUGCAGAUUUGGUUAUGACAGCAGCCCAUAGACUUCAGCUGCAAUUUCCAACUUUCCAACUUCCCGUUAACCACCCGAAAUCAUCCCGAGGCCCCCGAGACCUCAACCAAAAGCACCAACAAGUCCAAUACCCCUGUCCAAACUUAUACCAAUCCUUAAAACACCUAAAACAACACCGAAACGACGAAUCAACCACGAAUUCAAGCCUAAGAACUCCAAAACUCUAAAAAUACGCUUUCGAUCAAAAAGUCUAUCAAACCUCGUCCGAAUGACCUGAAAUUUUGCACACACGUCACAUUCAACACUACGAAGCUACUCCAACUUCCGGAAUUCCAUUCCGACCCUCAGAUCAAAAUCUCACUAUCGAACCGGAAACUUCAAAAUUCGACCUUUUGGCAUUUCAAGCCUAAAUUAGCUACAGACCUCCAAAACACAAUUCGAACACGCCCCUAAGCCCGAAAUCACCCAACGGAGCUAACGGAACCAUCAGAAUUCUAUUCCGAGGUCGUCUUCACACUGUUCCGACUACGGUCAAAUUUCCAACACUUGGCUCUCAUUUAGGGACUAAGUACCCCAAAACUGUCCGAGACUCAAAACCGAACAUCCCGACAAAUCAAAAUAGCAGAAAUAUACACGGGGAAAGCAGUUAAUAGGGGAUCGAGGCGUUAAUUCUUAAGACGACCGGUCGGGUCGUCACAUAUUUAGACCUUCAUGAUUAGAAAGUUGGAUGUAAAAGUUCAUCUCUUGAACUUACACAUUUAUUGAAUAACCUUUUUUUUUCUUUUUCCAUAUUUGACCUGUCAUAUCUGUCAUCUUUUUUGAUUAACUUUUCAUUGCAGGUCUCUGCAUCAAAAACUUUGAUCACACCUAUCCAAUGCAAGUCGUUGUGGAAGCAAUUUAACACUGAGACUGAAUACAUUGUUACACAAGCCAUUGCUGCUCAGGCACGUUAUCUUACAUCUUGCACAUAACUUUGUGCUUUUUAGGACUUCAUUCCUUUUAUAUUUAAUUUUUACGAACGGACAGACAUAUAGUAAUAUUUUAUAUAUUAUUAAUUUUGCACCUUCUUAACUAAAGCUCACACGUUAAUUGCACUUUGCACUUAAAGUCCCAAUCAACCUUGGUUCUUCUUUUAUGAUUUUCACCUUUGACAACACUUUUCAGUACCUUUGAAUCAGACAAAUUUAAAGGUAUGAUUCACGUUAAUCUGUAGCUCUAUAAUUUGAUUCCAACGAUUCUCUGAGCCUUUUAAUUGUAUGUUAACAUAGCACUUUUUCUUAACAUCUGCCGUGACAUCUCUAUUUGAUAUAUCCAUCAGGACAAAAAAUUUCUCUUCAGGGUUGUAAUAUUUGUAGACUCCUUUGUUAGCUUCUGACCAUCAGGUUUUUUUUUAACUUUAGGAGGCUAGCAGGAGAAAUAACAAUUGGCUGCCACCUCCAUGGGCAGUUGUCGCGUUGCUUAUUCUGGGGUUCAAUGAAUUCAUGACACUGUUGAGGUACCAUUUCCUACUUAUGGAUCAUGAGUGGGUUUGGAUUGCGCGAGUCAAAACAGUUUUAAAAAGUAUGGCUGUAACCAACUCGUUUAAUAUUUGCUUGGGUAAACAUGAGUUGGGUCAAAUAUAUGUUCAAUAGCAGGUCAUAAUCCAACCUCCCCACUAAUGACCACCUCUCAAUUUCUUGUUAGAAUUGGGUCAACAUUUCUCUAUCCAUUUUGUUUCAUUCUCUUGGAGUAUUUUUGAUACUCUUAGUCAUGAUACCCCCUAGCCGAGGGUCUAUUGGAAACAACCUCUCUAUCUUCCGGGGUAGGGAUAAGGUUUGCGUAUACACUACCCUCUCCUGACCCCACGUGUGGGAUUUCACUGGGUUGUUAUUGUUGUUGUUAGUCAUGAUACCCCUUUUGACGAAUAGAGGCUUUUAUAUCCACUUGAUGAUAGCAUGUAUCCACCGUAAUCACAUAUGUCACAUUGGUUUUUUACUCUUUUCAGAAAUCCUUUGUAUUUGGGAGUCAUAUUUGUUGCCUUUCUACUAGUGAAAGCCCUCUGGGUGCAACUGGACAUCUCGGGCGAAUUCCGCAAUGGCGCUGUAAGUGUUGAAUAUGAUUUGUUAAAAUUUCAGUUUUGUUGCAUUAGAAGCAUUUGACCAAAUAACUGUAUGAACUCUUGGUCUUUGCUCAUUCAUAAGAUAUUGUUGUUAAACUUCCUCCAUUGUCCUAAAGUAUGACACUUCCUACCAUUUUCUUUUGCAACUCUCUAGAAUUCUGUUGAGCCGAGGGUCUAUUGGAAACAACCUCUCUGCCCAUAAGAUCUACAUACAUACUAUCCUCCCCAUACCUUACUUGUGGGAUUAUAUUGGGUUGUUGUUGUUCUUGUAAAAGUUCAUGCAAAGCUAAAAUCGCCAACACAAAUACGUUUUAACCUUUCAAUGGCGUUUCGAUUCAUCAUAAUCUUUGGAAUGUUUUAUGUGGGCUUUCAGGAGUUAUUUCCUAAUCUAGUCUGCUAAGAUGAAACACAUUUGUACCUUCCUUUCUUUUCUGUAACAUUUUUAGAGUUAACUGUUUAGACCUGGACAAAAGGGGUCUAUACAUGAAGCAAUACAAACGGAUGGGAUAUAAGUAUGAUUGCUGCACUUCAUUUCUUCCAUUACAAUGAUGAGAACUUUCAAAAUAACAAUCUAUCUGUUACCUGAUCUUGACACAUGUGUUGACAGCUUCCUGGACUUCUCUCUUUAUCCACAAAGUUCCUUCCUACAGUCACGAAUCUUCUUAGACGACUAGCUGAGGCAGGCCAAAGGAAGGUGAAUAAUGAACCUCAACAUAAUCCUACUCCUGCAUCAAAGAGCUUCCACGGUACAAUUGCUUCAUCUGAAGUGACUUCAGAAAAUAGAGGGGAAUAAUCUAAGCCCCUUAAUGCAUGACAAAAUGAAGUAAGCAGUGGUGGAUCCAACAAAAGGUUCGUUGGUUCGACUGAACCUAAGUGGGUUGAUUUUUAUAUAUAUGCACGAAAAGCAAAUAUCGAUAGAAUUAUGUAGAACUCACAACAUCUAAAUUCUGGAUCUACCACUGGAAGUAAGUCAUGUUUAUACCGCCAUUCUUCUUAUUUGUGGCAACAACUUUUUAUGUUUAUAGGAUGUUUUGUGGUGCACAUCUGCUUGAUGGCUUUCUCUUUCAAAAGAAAGCAUGUGAACAAUCAGAAAAAUGGAAAGAGUUGAUUUUUGUGUAGGACAUAUAUACUGAGAUAUGGUUUAUAGUUGUGGGGUAAACUAAGAGUAGCCUCCAUGUUUUUUUUUUCUUGUUUGCCACCAAUUUUAUCUUUCAAGAACCUAUAACUUAUUGAUGGAAGAUAUAUAAUGUAUUUAAUAGAUGGUAUUAUCUUUUUCUGGUUUUGUAAUUUAUAUGGAAGAGGAAGACUAUGUAACUUGUAUUUCAAUUUUGAGAUUCUUUUUCUUUUUU
RNAcentral lists this long non-coding RNA (5451 nucleotides) under Nicotiana tabacum (common tobacco). RNAcentral's name for it is "long non-coding RNA (NTAB_LNC003852)". The record is from RNAcentral. Lineage: Eukaryota; Viridiplantae; Streptophyta; Magnoliopsida; Solanales; Solanaceae.